AAGUCGUAACAAGGUUUCCGUAGGUGAACCUGCGGAAGGAUCAUUAACACGUAUCCAACGUUAAAACAACCCUGUGAACCUUCAAUUUGCUCGCGUGGCUCCAUAAAAAAGCAGCAAUCCCUACUGUAACGCCGACAGGUCGCGAUAAUUCCGCUGACCACAAAAAAUCGAACAACUGUUAACAAUGGAUAUCUUGGUUCUC
This 202-nucleotide unclassified non-coding RNA is filed under the name fungal sp. RNAcentral's name for it is "partial internal transcribed spacer region". The stretch from base 1 to 46 matches the Rfam family "Eukaryotic small subunit ribosomal RNA", at positions 1786 to 1831 of the family's 1831-position model. Lineage: Eukaryota; Fungi. The record is from RNAcentral.